UACGAAGGGGGCGAGCGUUGUUCGGAUUUACUGGGCGUAAAGGGCGCGCAGGCGGCCAUUCAAGUCAGGCGUGAAAGCCCCGGGCUUAACCUGGGAGGUGCGUCUGGGACUGGGUGGCUAGAGAUCGGGAGAGGAGAGUGGAAUUCCCAGUGUAGAGGUGAAAUUCGUAGAUAUUGGGAAGAACACCGGUGGCGAAGGCGGCCUUCUGGACAGUGACUGGCGCUGAGACGCGAAAGCGUGGGGAGCAAACAGG
Molecule: ribosomal RNA, 253 nt
Filed under: uncultured bacterium
Lineage: Bacteria
Description: partial 16S ribosomal RNA
Rfam family: Bacterial small subunit ribosomal RNA
Source: RNAcentral